AUGGGAACGCGAAGAACCUUACCUAGACUUGACAUCUUCUGCAUUAAUCGUAAUGGAUGAAAUCCCUUCGGGGACAGAAUGACAGGUGGUGCAUGGUUGUCGUCAGCUCGUGUCGUGAGAUGUUGGGUUAAGUCCCGCAACGAGCGCAACCCCUAUUAUUAGUUGCUAACAUUAAGUUGAGCACUCUAGUGAGACUGCCCGGGUUAACCGGGAGGAAGGUGGGGAUGACGUCAAAUCAUCAUGCCCCUUAUGUCUAGGGCUACACACGUGCUACAAUGGUGGGAACAAAGAGAUGCAAUACCGCAAGGUGGAGCUAAACUCAAAACCCCAUCCCAGUUCGGAUUGUAGGCUGAAACUCGCCUACAUGAAGCUGGAGUUGCUAGUAAUCGCGAAUCAGAAUGUCGCGGUGAAUACGUU
RNAcentral lists this ribosomal RNA (417 nucleotides) under uncultured bacterium. RNAcentral describes it as "bacterial SSU rRNA". It matches the Rfam family "Bacterial small subunit ribosomal RNA", at positions 954 to 1372 of the family's 1533-position model. The record is from RNAcentral.